This 424-nucleotide ribosomal RNA is filed under the name Verrucomicrobiota bacterium. Its description in RNAcentral is "Verrucomicrobia bacterium partial 16S ribosomal RNA". It matches the Rfam family "Bacterial small subunit ribosomal RNA", at positions 355 to 776 of the family's 1533-position model. Lineage: Bacteria; Pseudomonadati; Verrucomicrobiota. The record is from RNAcentral.
UGAGGAAUAUUGGUCAAUGGACGAGAGUCUGAACCAGCCAAGUAGCGUGCAGGAUGACGGCCCUAUGGGUUGUAAACUGCUUUUGUUUGGGAAUAAUCGACAUUACGUGUAAUGUUUUGCAUGUACCAUUCGAAUAAGGACCGGCUAAUUCCGUGCCAGCAGCCGCGGUAAUACGGAAGGUCCAGGCGUUAUACGGAUUUAUUGGGUUUAAAGGGAGUGUAGGCGGUUGGUUAAGCGUGUUGUGAAAUGUAGAUGCUCAACAUCUGACUUGCAGCGCGAACUGGCUGACUUGAGUACACACAACGUAGGCGGAAUUCAUGGUGUAGCGGUGAAAUGCUUAGAUAUCAUGAAGAACUCCGAUUGCGAAGGCAGCUUACGGGAGUGUUACUGACGCUUAAGCUCGAAGGUGCGGGUAUCGAACAGG